GUGCUCUCUUUGGCAGCACAUGUACUAAAAUUGGAAUGAUACAGGGAAGAUUAGCAUAGCCCCCACUCAAGAAUGACACGCAAAUUUGUAAAGCAUUCUACAUUUUU
This is a small nuclear RNA of Tupaia belangeri (northern tree shrew), 107 nucleotides long. NCBI's taxonomy places the organism in Eukaryota, Metazoa, Chordata, Mammalia, Scandentia, Tupaiidae. The record is from Ensembl.